This 83-nucleotide transfer RNA is filed under the name Fusarium lateritium. RNAcentral's name for it is "tRNA-Pro". It matches the Rfam family "tRNA". Rfam says of the family: Transfer RNA (tRNA) molecules are approximately 80 nucleotides in length. Their secondary structure includes four short double-helical elements and three loops (D, anti-codon, and T loops). Further hydrogen bonds mediate the characteristic L-shaped molecular structure. tRNAs have two regions of fundamental functional importance: the anti-codon, which is responsible for specific mRNA codon recognition, and the 3' end, to which the tRNAs corresponding amino acid is attached (by aminoacyl-tRNA synthetases). tRNAs cope with the degeneracy of the genetic code in two manners: having more than one tRNA (with a specific anti-codon) for a particular amino acid; and 'wobble' base-pairing, i.e. permitting non-standard base-pairing at the 3rd anti-codon position. The record is from RNAcentral. Lineage: Eukaryota; Fungi; Ascomycota; Sordariomycetes; Hypocreales; Nectriaceae. RNAcentral also lists the same sequence under 1 other name.
GGCUCUAUGGUCUAGUCGUAUGAUUCUCGCUUUGGGUUAACUAAAAUUGCGAGAGGUCCCGGGUUCAAUUCCCGGUGGAGCCC